GACGAACGCUGGCGGCGUGCUUAACACAUGCAAGUCGAACGGAAAGGCCCUGCUUUUGUGGGGUGCUCGAGUGGCGAACGGGUGAGUAAAACGUGAGUAACCUGCACUUGAAUUUGGGAUAACUUCAGGAAACUGGGGCUCAUACCGGAUAGGAUCUCCUGAUGCAUGGUGGGGGAUGGAAAGUUUCGGCGGUUGGGGAUGGACUGGAGGCUUAUCAGCUUGAUGGUGGGGUAGUGGCUUACCAAGGCUUUGACGGGUAGCCGGCCUGAGAGGGUGACCGGCCACAUUGGGACUGAGAUACGGCCCAGACUCCUACGGGAGGCAGCAGUGGGGAAUAUUGCACAAUGGGCGGAAGCCUGAUGCAGCAACGCCGCGUGCGUGAUGACGGCCUUCGGGUUGUAAACCGCUUUCGCCUGUGACGAAGCGUGAGUGACGGUAAUGAGUAAAGAAGCACCGGCUAACUACGUG
RNAcentral lists this ribosomal RNA (468 nucleotides) under uncultured bacterium. RNAcentral describes it as "partial 16S ribosomal RNA". It matches the Rfam family "Bacterial small subunit ribosomal RNA", at positions 28 to 507 of the family's 1533-position model. The record is from RNAcentral.